GAUAUGGCUCAGGAUGAACGCUGGCGGCGUGCCUAACACAUGCAAGUCGAGCGAAGCACUUUGCUUAGAUUCUUCGGAUGAAGAGGAUUGUGACUGAGCGGGCGGACGGGUGAGUAACGCGUGGGUAACCUGCCUCAUACAGGGGGGAUAACAGUUAGAAAUGACUGCUAAUACCGCAUAAGACCACAGCACCGCAUGGUGCGGGGGUAAAAACUCCGGUGGUAUGAGAUGGACCCG
This 237-nucleotide ribosomal RNA is filed under the name uncultured bacterium. Its description in RNAcentral is "partial 16S ribosomal RNA". It matches the Rfam family "Bacterial small subunit ribosomal RNA", at positions 15 to 233 of the family's 1533-position model. The record is from RNAcentral.